This 64-nucleotide transfer RNA is filed under the name Tritoniopsis elegans. RNAcentral describes it as "tRNA-Lys". Lineage: Eukaryota; Metazoa; Mollusca; Gastropoda; Nudibranchia; Tritoniidae. The record is from RNAcentral.
AAUUCGGUGACCGAAGUUUAGGUGAUAGAUUUUUAAUCUAUUUAUGGAUUUAGUCCUCGAAUUG